Molecule: transfer RNA, 85 nt
Filed under: Juglanconis juglandina
Lineage: Eukaryota; Fungi; Ascomycota; Sordariomycetes; Diaporthales; Juglanconidaceae
Description: tRNA-Leu
Rfam family: tRNA
About the family: Transfer RNA (tRNA) molecules are approximately 80 nucleotides in length. Their secondary structure includes four short double-helical elements and three loops (D, anti-codon, and T loops). Further hydrogen bonds mediate the characteristic L-shaped molecular structure. tRNAs have two regions of fundamental functional importance: the anti-codon, which is responsible for specific mRNA codon recognition, and the 3' end, to which the tRNAs corresponding amino acid is attached (by aminoacyl-tRNA synthetases). tRNAs cope with the degeneracy of the genetic code in two manners: having more than one tRNA (with a specific anti-codon) for a particular amino acid; and 'wobble' base-pairing, i.e. permitting non-standard base-pairing at the 3rd anti-codon position.
Source: RNAcentral
AGGGAAAUGUGUGGAAUUGGUAGACCGGAUUAGUUUAGGCCUAAUUGAUCGUAAGAUCGUGCAAGUUCAAGUCUUGUUUUCCCUA